UGAAAUAGAUCCUGAAACCGCAUGCAUACAAGCAGUGGGAGCACCUUCGUGGUGUGACUGCGUACCUUUUGUAUAAUGGGUCAGCGACUUAUAUUCAGUAGCGAGGUUAACCGUAUAGGGGAGCCGUAGAGAAAUCGAGUCUUAAUAGGGCGUUUAGUUGCUGGGUAUAGACCCGAAACCAGGCUAUCUAUCCAUGAGCAGGUUGAAGGUUGGGUAACACUAACUGGAGGACCGAACCCACUGUCGUUGAAAAGCCAGGGGAUUACUUGUGGAUAGGGGUGAAAGGCUAAUCAAGCCUGGUGAUAGCUGGUUCUCCCCGAAAGCUAUUUAGGUAGCGCCUCGGACGAAUACCAUAGGGGGUAGAGCACUGUUUCGGCUAGGGGGUCAUCCCGACUUACCAAACCGAUGCAAACUCCGAAUACCUAUGAGUACUAUCCGGGAGACAGACUGCGGGUGCUAACGUCCGUAGUCAAGAGGAAAACAAUCCAGACCGCCAGCUAAGGCCCCAAAAUCAUAGUUAAGUGGGAAACGAUGUGGG
Molecule: ribosomal RNA, 538 nt
Filed under: Acinetobacter baumannii 25307_2
Lineage: Bacteria; Pseudomonadati; Pseudomonadota; Gammaproteobacteria; Moraxellales; Moraxellaceae
Description: partial 16S ribosomal RNA
Rfam family: Bacterial large subunit ribosomal RNA
Source: RNAcentral